This is a long non-coding RNA of Pyrus x bretschneideri (Chinese white pear), 1190 nucleotides long. RefSeq lists it as uncharacterized. Lineage: Eukaryota; Viridiplantae; Streptophyta; Magnoliopsida; Rosales; Rosaceae. The record is from RefSeq and is a predicted model, not a curated record. The transcript has 2 exons.
AUUAGAAUUAAAAUAAAGAUUCCACGGAAUUACAAAGUUUAAAGAUAGUAAGAUAAUUUUGUAUUACCAUGGUUGAUUGAUUACCUUAUGCUGUCCGUUUACCUUUAUUUUUCAUUUCUAUUAUAAAUUUCUUUAUUUCUUGUCCUUUUCUUUCCUUUUUGUCUCGCCUCCCUCCCUCCCGCAUCCUCUCUCCCUCUUCUCUUAGCGAGCCGACGACUGCCGACGCAACAUCUCCGUCGUUCACCGGUCACCAACGCCUGUGAAACUACACAUCCAGAAUGCUCUUGCCGUCCUUUAUCCAAUCCCCAAGUUAGUUUCUAUAAAUUCGUAGGCGAUUUUCCUCAAUUUCUAAUUUAAGAAACGGUGACCCAGGGUUUUCCGUCCAACUUCCGGCCAAUAUCGCCGGAAUUGGACCUCGACCCAAGAGGUAGAAAUGAUCCUCUUCUCGUGGGCUGUUCUCCAAUGUGAGACAUGCUAACAGAAAAAGGUAUUUCCAAUAUUAUUGUGGAAUCUGAUAAAGGUUUCUUGAGGCAGUUGCUAGUCUGAAAAGCUUCUUCCAUCUUAACUGUUACUGGCUGUAAGACUUUUAUUGGGCUUACAUCUAUUUAGGAGUCCUAAUUGAUUAAGGAUAAAAGAAAGGAAUUAAUAUUUGAUUAUUCCGGAUUAAUUAUGGUGAAGUAUAUCAAUAAUUUUUGCGAAUAUCAAUCCUAUUACGUCAUGGAUUUUAGAGGUGCUAAAGAUCUGUAUUAGGGUUUUCUUUAUGGGCAAGAAGCCUAAUACUCUCACCUAUAAAUAUAAGGCUUAGGUCCCACUUUUAUACACAUUAUUCUAGCACAAAACACUACCCCAUAUAGGAGUGCAUAAGGCGUGUAGAGAGAGAUGAAGAUCUUUGCUUGUUUGUUGCUGAUCAUGGUUCAAUCUUGUUCAUGUCAAUGGCUUCUUAAGGUUAGUACUUUUAGAGUGCAUAUUAUAGAUCGACUUGCAUUGGGUACCUCGAAAAAAAUGAAUUAGGUAGCAGAAUGUGGUUCGACGACCCCUAUUGUUCAAUUUUUUAAGUACCAUCCAUGUAUGUAUAUAUUCUAUAAAACAUGGUAGAAUAAUUUUUUGAGUACUUUAUAGAUAAUUUCAUCAGUUUUUACUAAACCUAGAAGAAGUUGGAGAUAGAAACAUGCUAACCUUUAUGCUUGAUC